UCUCGGCAUCGCUGGCGUCCGCGCCGUGAACCCCGCCAGGACCGAGAGGUAGCAACGGUAGGGCAGUGGACGUGCAGCGGUGCUUUUUUCA
This 91-nucleotide signal recognition particle RNA is filed under the name Myxococcales bacterium. RNAcentral describes it as "signal recognition particle sRNA small type". It matches the Rfam family "Bacterial small signal recognition particle RNA". Rfam says of the family: The signal recognition particle (SRP) is a universally conserved ribonucleoprotein involved in the co-translational targeting of proteins to membranes. Archaeal SRP consists of a 7S RNA and homologues of the eukaryotic SRP19 and SRP54 proteins. The record is from RNAcentral. Lineage: Bacteria; Pseudomonadati; Myxococcota; Myxococcia; Myxococcales.